GUGAGGACUGAGUGGAAAGAUCGACGUGAAAUGCAAGCACUGGUUAAGGGUCUGCUCACCCGGGGCCUGGCUGGAGGGAUCCCGGCGGACACUCCACUGAGGAUGGCAGUCUCCAGGGCAAAGCAGGACAGGAUUUCAGCUGCUAGAACCUCGAGAUCUCUUUUUUCCCCUAACCAAGUCCAACUUGCUCUCCCACUCUGAAAAUGGACAUCUCUCAAAAUCAAAGGUAAUGCCUCAGCUGAGAACCCUACUGAAAGCCAAGUAUAAACAUGGAUGUUGCUUGCAAAACCA
Gorilla gorilla gorilla (western lowland gorilla) is the source of this 291-nucleotide long non-coding RNA. RefSeq lists it as uncharacterized. The transcript has 2 exons. The record is from RefSeq and is a predicted model, not a curated record. NCBI's taxonomy places the organism in Eukaryota, Metazoa, Chordata, Mammalia, Primates, Hominidae.